GAUGAAGAACGCAGCGAAAUGUGAUAAGUAAUGCGAAUUGCAGAAUCCGUGAGUCAUCGAAUCUUUGAACGCACAUUGCGCCCUCUGGUAUUCCGGAGGGCAUGCCUGUUCGAGCGUCAUUAUCACCCCUCAAGCCCGGCUUGUUGUUGGAUGCAGCGCUUAUCCCGCUCCUCCCAAAGAUAAUGACGGCGUCUGCGACGACUCCUGUACACUGAGCUUUCGGGCACGUACACGGCUAGAAGUCCAGACCCGGUCGCCGUCCCCCCCGCGGGGACACCCAUUACCACAAGGUUGACCUCGGAUCAGGUAGGAAUACCCGCUGAACUUAAGCAUAUCAAUAAGCGGAGGA
This 349-nucleotide unclassified non-coding RNA is filed under the name soil metagenome. RNAcentral describes it as "partial contains 5.8S ribosomal RNA, internal transcribed spacer 2, and large subunit ribosomal RNA". The stretch from base 1 to 119 matches the Rfam family "5.8S ribosomal RNA", at positions 35 to 154 of the family's 154-position model. The record is from RNAcentral.